GAAGUGAGGAAUUGUUUGCUUGAGAAAAUCUGGAUUGGGCUGGAAGUCUGCAUCAAAUAUGGCGACGAAUUCAUAGUCCUGGACAUAGUCACAUCCCAUAGCUGACUUAAGAUUGCCCGCUUUAUAUCCUGUUCUGAUUAAUCUAUGUCUGUAGAUUAUAUUGAUUCCUUUCUGACGCCAGGAAGAAACUUCGUCUUUGAUUAGGAGCUGCACAUUUCCAUCAUCAGA
RNAcentral lists this unclassified non-coding RNA (228 nucleotides) under Hevea brasiliensis (rubber tree). Lineage: Eukaryota; Viridiplantae; Streptophyta; Magnoliopsida; Malpighiales; Euphorbiaceae. The record is from RNAcentral.